Molecule: ribosomal RNA, 337 nt
Filed under: Cucullanus pulcherrimus
Lineage: Eukaryota; Metazoa; Nematoda; Chromadorea; Rhabditida; Cucullanidae
Description: SSU rRNA
Rfam family: Eukaryotic small subunit ribosomal RNA
Source: RNAcentral
UGAAACCGCGAACGGCUCAUUACAACAGCUAUAAUUUACUUGAUCCUGAUUAUCCUACUUGGAUAACUGUGGUAAUUCUAGAGCUAAUACAUGCACCGAAGCUCCGACUCACGGACGAGCGCAUUUAUUAGACCAAAACCAAUCGGGUUUCGGCCCGCUCUUUGGUGACUCUGAAUAACUAAGCUGAUCGCAUGGUCUUGCACCGGCGACGUGUCUUUCAAGUAUCUGCCUUAUCAACUUUCGAUGGUAGUUUAUGUGACUACCAUGGUUGUAACGGGUAACGGAGAAUAAGGGUUCGACUCCGGAGAGGGAGCCUGAGAAACGGCUACCACAUCCA